AUGCUCACAUCAACAGCAAAUAUACUAAAAUUGAAACAAUAUGGAGAAGAUUAACAUGUCCUCUGCCCAAAGAUGACUCAAAUCCACGAAGUAUUCCAUAUUUAA
Myodes glareolus (Bank vole) is the source of this 105-nucleotide small nuclear RNA. Lineage: Eukaryota; Metazoa; Chordata; Mammalia; Rodentia; Cricetidae. The record is from RefSeq and is a predicted model, not a curated record.